ACCCGCUGAACUUAAGCAUAUCAAUAAGCGGAGGAAAAGAAACCAACAGGGAUUGCCCUAGUAACGGCGAGUGAAGCGGCAACAGCUCAAAUUUGAAAUCUGGCGUCUUUGGCGUCCGAGUUGUAAUUUGCAGAGGGCGCUUUGGCUUUGGCAGCGGUCCAAGUUCCUUGGAACAGGACGUCACAGAGGGUGAGAAUCCCGUACGUGGUCGCUGGCUAUUGCCGUGUAAAGCCCCUUCGACGAGUCGAGUUGUUUGGGAAUGCAGCUCUAAAUGGGAGGUACAUUUCUUCUAAAGCUAAAUAUUGGCCAGAGACCGAUAGCGCACAAGUAGAGUGAUCGAAAGAUGAAAAGCACUUUGGAAAGAGAGUCAAACAGCACGUGAAAUUGUUGAAAGGGAAGCGCUUGCAGCCAGACUUGCUUACAGUUGCUCAUCCGGGCUUUUGCCCGGUGCACUCUUCUGUAGGCAGGCCAGCAUCAGUUUGGGCGGUAGGAUAAAGGUCUCUGUCACGUACCUCUCUUCGGGGAGGCCUUAUAGGGGAGACGACAUACUACCAGCCUGGACUGAGGUCCGCGCAUCUGCUAGGAUGCUGGCGUAAUGGCUGU
Molecule: ribosomal RNA, 603 nt
Filed under: uncultured fungus
Lineage: Eukaryota; Fungi
Description: eukaryotic LSU rRNA
Rfam family: Eukaryotic large subunit ribosomal RNA
Source: RNAcentral